CUUAGUAUCUUGGUUAAGCGCUGUGGGACUAACCAAGAUUUCAAACAGGCCAUCGGACUCGUCAGGUAUAUUGACGGGUUCUGAUCCACCUUUCAGUAUACCAAAGUUCUGGCUAACGGAUUUGAUUCUUUUCCACACUGUCUUGCCUUUCUUCCCGAUUUUAGCAGACAUGAAAACAGGGGCUUUGUCCCAACCGGUCGCAUCCGGUUUAAACGAGAUUUUAAAACCGAUUCGAUAUGUUUUCCC
This is a long non-coding RNA of Arabidopsis thaliana (thale cress), 246 nucleotides long. RefSeq annotates it as other RNA. The record is from RefSeq. The transcript has a single exon. NCBI's taxonomy places the organism in Eukaryota, Viridiplantae, Streptophyta, Magnoliopsida, Brassicales, Brassicaceae.